RNAcentral lists this ribosomal RNA (1427 nucleotides) under Aeromonas veronii AMC35. RNAcentral's name for it is "bacterial LSU rRNA". It matches the Rfam family "Bacterial large subunit ribosomal RNA", at positions 1520 to 2925 of the family's 2925-position model. The record is from RNAcentral. Lineage: Bacteria; Pseudomonadati; Pseudomonadota; Gammaproteobacteria; Aeromonadales; Aeromonadaceae.
GUAGGUGGUGUUUCUAGGCAAAUCCGGAGACACAACACUGAGACACGAGACGAACACACUACGGUGUGGAAGCCAUUGAUGCCCUGCUUCCAGGAAAAGCCUCUAAGCUUCAGAUUACAAGUCAUCGUACCCCAAACCGACACAGGUGGUCGGGUAGAGAAUACCAAGGCGCUUGAGAGAACUCGGGUGAAGGAACUAGGCAAAAUAGAACCGUAACUUCGGGAGAAGGUUCGCUCUUGACAGUGAAGUCCCUUGCGGAUGGAGCAGUUGGGAGUCGCAGUGACCAGAUGGCUGGGACUGUUUAUCAAAAACACAGCACUCUGCAAACACGAAAGUGGACGUAUAGGGUGUGACACCUGCCCGGUGCCGGAAGGUUAAUUGAUGGGGUUAGCGCAAGCGAAGCUCUUGAUCGAAGCCCCGGUAAACGGCGGCCGUAACUAUAACGGUCCUAAGGUAGCGAAAUUCCUUGUCGGGUAAGUUCCGACCUGCACGAAUGGUGUAACCAUGGCCAUGCUGUCUCCACCCGAGACUCAGUGAAAUCGAAUUCGCCGUGAAGAUGCGGUGUACCCGCGGCUAGACGGAAAGACCCCGUGAACCUUUACUACAGCUUGGCACUGAACAUUGAACCUACAUGUGUAGGAUAGGUGGGAGGCUUUGAAGGCGUGACGCCAGUUGCGCUGGAGCCGUCCUUGAAAUACCACCCUUGUAUGUUUGAUGUUCUAACGCAGGGCCCUGAAUCGGGCUCGCGGACAGUGCCUGGUGGGUAGUUUGACUGGGGCGGUCUCCUCCCAAAGAGUAACGGAGGAGCACGAAGGUUGGCUAAUCCUGGUCGGACAUCAGGAGGUUAGUGCAAUGGCAUAAGCCAGCUUAACUGCGAGACGGACAGGUCGAGCAGGUACGAAAGUAGGUCAUAGUGAUCCGGUGGUUCUGAAUGGAAGGGCCAUCGCUCAACGGAUAAAAGGUACUCCGGGGAUAACAGGCUGAUACCGCCCAAGAGUUCAUAUCGACGGCGGUGUUUGGCACCUCGAUGUCGGCUCAUCACAUCCUGGGGCUGAAGUCGGUCCCAAGGGUAUGGCUGUUCGCCAUUUAAAGUGGUACGCGAGCUGGGUUCAGAACGUCGUGAGACAGUUCGGUCCCUAUCUGCCGUGGGCGUUGGAUGAUUGAAGGGAGUUGCUCCUAGUACGAGAGGACCGGAGUGAACGAACCUCUGGUGUUCGGGUUGUCACGCCAGUGGCACUGCCCGGUAGCUAAGUUCGGAAUCGAUAACCGCUGAAAGCAUCUAAGCGGGAAGCGAGCCCUGAGAUGAGUCAUCCCUGACCCCUUGAGGGUCCUAAAGGGCCGUUGGAGACCACAACGUUGAUAGGCGGGGUGUGUAAGUGCAGCGAUGCAUUGAGCUAACCCGUACUAAUUACCCGUGAGGCUUAACC